Molecule: ribosomal RNA, 253 nt
Filed under: uncultured prokaryote
Description: partial 16S ribosomal RNA
Rfam family: Bacterial small subunit ribosomal RNA
Source: RNAcentral
ACAGAGGUCUCAAGCGUUGUUCGGAAUCACUGGGCGUAAAGGGUGCGUAGGCCGCACGGCAAGUCAGAUGUGAAAGCCCGGAGCUCAACUCCGGAAUGGCAUCCGAUACUGCCGUGCUCGAGGACUGAAGAGGAGUCUGGAAUUCACAGUGGAGCAGUGAAAUGCGUAGAUAUUGUGAGGAGCACUAGUGGCGAAGGCGAGACUCUGGACAGUUCCUGACGCUGAGGCACGAAGGCCAGGGGAGCAAACGGGA